This 493-nucleotide ribosomal RNA is filed under the name uncultured bacterium. Its description in RNAcentral is "bacterial SSU rRNA". It matches the Rfam family "Bacterial small subunit ribosomal RNA", at positions 29 to 517 of the family's 1533-position model. The record is from RNAcentral.
AUUGAACGCUGGCGGCAUGCCUUACACAUGCAAGUCGAACGGUAACAGGUCUUCGGAUGCUGACGAGUGGCGAACGGGUGAGUAAUACAUCGGAACGUGCCCGAUCGUGGGGGAUAACGCAGCGAAAGCUGUGCUAAUACCGCAUACGAUCUACGGAUGAAAGCGGGGGAUCGCAAGACCUCGCGCGGACGGAGCGGCCGAUGGCAGAUUAGGUAGUUGGUGGGAUAAAAGCUUACCCAAGCCGACGAUCUGUAGCUGGUCUGAGAGGACGACCAGCCACACUGGGACUGAGACACGGCCCAGACUCCUACGGGAGGCAGCAGUGGGGAAUUUUGGACAAAUGGGCGCAAGCCUGAUCCAGCCAUGCCGCGUGCAGGAUGAAGGCCUUCGGGUGUAAACUGCUUUGUACGGAACGAAAAGACUCCUCUAAUACAGGGGUGAAGUGACGGUACCGUAAGAAUAAGACACCGGCUAACUACGUGCCAGCAGACCG